Molecule: ribosomal RNA, 497 nt
Filed under: uncultured bacterium
Lineage: Bacteria
Description: partial 16S ribosomal RNA
Rfam family: Bacterial small subunit ribosomal RNA
Source: RNAcentral
GAUGAACGCUGGCGGCGUGCCUAAUACAUGCAAGUCGAGCGAACAGACGAGGAGCUUGCUCCUUCGACGUUAGCGGCGGACGGGUGAGUAACACGUAGGUAACCUACCUAUAAGACUGGGAUAACUUCGGGAAACCGGAGCUAAUACCGGAUAAUAUUUCGAACCGCAUGGUUCGAUAGUGAAAGAUGGCUUUGCUAUCACUUAUAGAUGGACCUGCGCCGUAUUAGCUAGUUGGUAAGGUAACGGCUUACCAAGGCAACGAUACGUAGCCGACCUGAGAGGGUGAUAGGCCACACUGGAACUGAGACACGGUCCAGACUCCUACGGGAGGCAGCAGUAGGGAAUCUGCCGCAAUGGGCGAAAGCCUGACGGAGCAACGGCGCGUGAGUGAUGAAGGUCUUCGGAUCGUAAAACUCUGUUAUUAGGGAAGAACAAACGUGUAAGUAACUGUGCACGUCUUGACGGUACCUAAUCAGAAAGCCACGGCUAACUACGUG